AGCAGCCGCCGCGGUAAUGCGUAGGUGGCAAGCGUUGUCCGGAAUUAUUGGGCGUAAAGGGCUCGCAGGCGGUUUCUUAAGUCUGAUGUGAAAGCCCCCGGCUCAACCGGGGAGGGUCACUGGAAACUGGGAAACUUGAGUGCAGAAGAGGAGAGUGGAAUUCCACGUGUAGCGGUGAAAUGCGUAGAGAUGUGGAGGAACACCAGUGGCGAAGGCGACUCUCUGGUCUGUAACUGACGCUGAGGAGCGAAAGCGUGGGGAGCGAACAGGAUUAGAUACCCCAGUAGUCCCUGUCUCUUAUAC
RNAcentral lists this ribosomal RNA (303 nucleotides) under uncultured bacterium. Its description in RNAcentral is "partial 16S ribosomal RNA". It matches the Rfam family "Bacterial small subunit ribosomal RNA", at positions 507 to 807 of the family's 1533-position model. The record is from RNAcentral.